RNAcentral lists this ribosomal RNA (429 nucleotides) under Bacteroidota bacterium. RNAcentral's name for it is "Bacteroidetes bacterium partial 16S ribosomal RNA". It matches the Rfam family "Bacterial small subunit ribosomal RNA", at positions 355 to 776 of the family's 1533-position model. Lineage: Bacteria; Pseudomonadati; Bacteroidota. The record is from RNAcentral.
UAGGGAAUCUUCCGCAAUGGACGCAAGUCUGACGGAGCAACGCCGCGUGAGUGAAGAAGGAUUUCGGUUCGUAAAACUCUGUUGUUAGAGAAGAACAGCGCAUAGAGUAACUGUUAUGCGUGUGACGGUAUCUAACCAGAAAGCCACGGCUAACUACGUGCCAGCAGCCGCGGUAAUACGUAGGUGGCAAGCGUUGUCCGGAUGUAUUGGGCGUAAAGCGAGCGCAGGCGGUCAAUUAAGUCUGAUGUGAAAGCCCCCGGCUCAACCGGGGAGGGUCUUUGGAAACUGGUUGCCUUGAGUGCAGAAGAGGAGAGUGUACUUCCAUGUGUAGCGGUGAAAUGCGUAGAUAUAUGGAGGAACACCAGUGGCGAAGGCGACUCUCUGGUCUGUAACUGACGCUGGGGCUCGAAAGCGUGGGUAGCAACCAGG